CGUCAGAUAGCUCAGUUGGUAGAGCACCUGAUUAGAGAUUCAGGGACUGGGUUUGAAUCCUGGUCUGUCAU
Molecule: transfer RNA, 71 nt
Filed under: Magallana gigas (Pacific oyster)
Lineage: Eukaryota; Metazoa; Mollusca; Bivalvia; Ostreida; Ostreidae
Description: Crassostrea gigas (Pacific oyster) tRNA
Rfam family: tRNA
About the family: Transfer RNA (tRNA) molecules are approximately 80 nucleotides in length.
Source: Rfam by way of RNAcentral